AGCGAACGCUGGCGGCAGGCUUAACACAUGCAAGUCGAGCGGGCAUCCUUGUGGUGUCAGCGGCAGACGGGUGAGUAACGCGUGGGAACGUGCCCUUCGGUUCGGAAUAACUCAGGGAAACUUGAGCUAAUACCGGAUACGUGCGAGAGCAGAAAGGUUUAUCUGCCGAAGGAUCGGCCCGCGUCUGAUUAGCUAGUUGGUGAGGUUACGGCUCACCAAGGCGACGAUCAGUAGCUGGUCUGAGAGGAUGAUCAGCCACACUGGGACUGAGACACGGCCCAGACUCCUACGGGAGGCAGCAGUGGGGAAUAUUGGACAAUGGGGGCAACCCUGAUCCAGCCAUGCCGCGUGAGUGAUGACGGCCUUAGGGUUGUAAAGCUCUUUUCUCCGGGACGAUAAUGACGGUACCGGAGGAAUAAGCCCCGGCUAACUGCGU
RNAcentral lists this ribosomal RNA (436 nucleotides) under uncultured bacterium. RNAcentral describes it as "partial 16S ribosomal RNA". It matches the Rfam family "Bacterial small subunit ribosomal RNA", at positions 29 to 506 of the family's 1533-position model. The record is from RNAcentral.